RNAcentral lists this ribosomal RNA (468 nucleotides) under uncultured bacterium. RNAcentral's name for it is "partial 16S ribosomal RNA". It matches the Rfam family "Bacterial small subunit ribosomal RNA", at positions 28 to 507 of the family's 1533-position model. The record is from RNAcentral.
GACGAACGCUGGCGGCGUGCUUAACACAUGCAAGUCGAACGGAAAGGCCCUGCUUUUGUGGGGUGCUCGAGUGGCGAACGGGUGAGUAACACGUGAGUAACCUGCCCUUGAAUUUGGGAUAACUUCAGGAAACUGGGGCUAAUACCGGAUAGGAGCUCCUGCUGCAUGGUGGGGGUUGGAAAGUUUCGGCGGUUGGGGAUGGACUCGCGGCUUAUCAGCUUGUUGGUGGGGUAGUGGCUUACCAAGGCUUCGACGGGUAGCCGGCCUGGGAGGGGGACCGGCCACAUGGCGACUGAGAGACGGCCCAGACUCCAACGGGAGGCAGCAGGGGGGAAUAUUGCAGAGUGGGCGGAAGCCUGAUGCAGCGACGCCGCGUGCGGGAUGACGUGCUUCGGGUGGUAAACCGCUUUGGACUGAGACGAAGCGUGAGUGACGGUAAUGGGUAAAGAAGCACCGGCUAACUACGUG